CUCCUACUCCGUAUACAAGGCCUGACAUCACCUCAUCGGACAAAGGAGAUAUUAUUUUAGAAGGUAGCAGACACCCUUGUGUUGAGGCACAAGACUGGGUGAAUUUUAUACCAAAUGAUUGUAAGCUUAUCAGAGGAAAAAGUUGGUUUCAAAUAAUAACAGGGCCUAACAUGGGCGGGAAAUCAACAUUCAUCCGGCAGGUGGGCGUGAAUAUUUUGAUGGCACAAAUUGGUUCGUUUGUUCCAUGCGACAAAGCCAGCAUAUCUGUUCGUGAUUGCAUUUUUGCUCGUGUUGGUGCAGGUGACUGCCAAGUGAGUUGUAUUCCAUAUUUUUGGCUC
Molecule: long non-coding RNA, 338 nt
Organism: Cicer arietinum (chickpea)
Lineage: Eukaryota; Viridiplantae; Streptophyta; Magnoliopsida; Fabales; Fabaceae
Source: RefSeq, a predicted model, not a curated record